AUGAACGCUAGCGGCAGGCCUAAUACAUGCAAGUCGAACGGGAUCCAGAUCAAAGCUUGCUUUGGUCUGGUGAGAGUGGCGCACGGGUGCGUAACGCGUGAGCAACCUACCCUUGUCAGGGGGAUAGCCCGGCGAAAGUCGGAUUAAUACCGCAUGACAUCAUUGAGAGGCAUCUUUCGAUGAUCAAAGAUUUAUCGGACAAGGAUGGGCUCGCGUGACGUUAGCUAGUUGGUAAGGUAACGGCUUACCAAGGCUGCGAUGUCUAGGGGCUCUGAGAGGAGAAUCCCCCACACUGGUACUGAGACACGGACCAGACUCCUACGGGAGGCAGCAGUAAGGAAUAUUGGUCAAUGGACGGAAGUCUGAACCAGCCAUGCCGCGUGCAGGAAGACGGCCCUAUGGGUUGUAAACUGCUUUUAUACGGGAACAAACGUCGGUACGUGUACCGGUCUGAGUGUACCGUAAGAAUAAGGAUCGGCUAACUCCGUG
Molecule: ribosomal RNA, 489 nt
Filed under: uncultured bacterium
Lineage: Bacteria
Description: partial 16S ribosomal RNA
Rfam family: Bacterial small subunit ribosomal RNA
Source: RNAcentral